CUACUGAUCUUGCUUUACUGUUUUAUAUGUUCUCGUGCUUCCCUCUAGUUUCACUUUAGAUAAUUUGGAUGCUUGGAAUACAGCUGUCUCCUUGCCCAUGUCAUCCAAAGUAUCGGUAUCUUGUUCAUUGUCGAGCCUUUUCAUUCUCCUCUAUUGGUUUAUUGGCUGAUCAAGAAAAUGACUGCUGCUCUCUACUUCAUAUGUUGAACUACAUCGACUCCCAGGUGUUCUGCUAUAGCUGUAACUGGCUAUCGUUUCAUUAAAGGCAUCCAUGGCCAGCGUGCAGUUAUCAUGUUUGAUGUCACUGCAAGGUUUACAUGCAAAAACGUCCCCACAUGGCAUAGGGACCUCUGUUAGUUAGCUCUGAAACAAUCUGCAACCAUUUUUCCAUGUUCUGUAUUUUCUACUACUACACUUGCCAUGAUUUUACAUUUUUUGUCGUACUUGAUUGAUAUGUCUGGUUGCAUUCAGGGUUUGUGAGAAUGUUCCUAUCGUUCUCUGUGGAAACAAGGUUGGUGUAAAAAAACAGGCAGGUGAAAGCAAAUGUGGUUACAUUCCACAGGAAGAAGAAUCUGCAGUGCUAUGAAAUUUCUCCUGAGAGCAAUUACAAUUUUGAGAAGCCUUUUCUGUAUCUGGCUAGAAAGCUCGCAGGGGAUGCAAAUCGUCAUUUUGUCGAGCCGCCAGCCCUCGCACCUCUUGAAGUUCAUAUCGACCUGGCUGCACAAUAACAGUAAGUGAAACAAAAACUUGACAACAUUGCUGAGUUACAUGAGUCACCUUAGUAUCAUAUAAUUUUUUGUUCUUCAUUGUUAAAGGUAUGGAAAAUAAGUAAAGAAAUGGUAAGAUUGCUCCAUCGUGACCUAUACAUCACGGGUUCAAAAUAUGAAAAUAUUUAUUGGCAUAUGGAGGUAAGGCUGUUUACAUCUGACCAUGCCUAAACCUACAAUCAUGGAAGCCUCGUGGUGUCCUCCUUUCGGGACUAGCUUAUUCCAUGGAGUCUUGGCUUUAAUUUUAUCUUCUGGACCGGUUUAUUUCCAUGGUUUUAUUUUUGUCCUUUCAGAUUGGCUCAUUUCCAUGGAUUAGUCAUCCAAAUACUUAUUUUUAAGCUGUGCUGAUUUUCUGUAUUCCUUGGAUUGUUAAAUCCUGAUGGGCUGCCACAAUACGUGGGUAGACAUGAGUCAAUUUGGGCCCUGGGUGGCCCAAGUAAUAGAGCAGUAGCUACUCCGUGGGGUUUGUUGGCAGCCCAGCUCCAACUAGGCCAGGCUUUGCAAUCUCAGCGUGUCGUGAUUAAUGGUACGAGCGAGGACCGAUGACUUAGGCGAGGCGACGAGGAGUCAUUGAUGGGCCCAAAGAGACCGUGGUGGCCAUUACCCAUCGAGGUUUCUCGGCCCAUGCUGGCCUCCUGCAUGUCCGCAGAACUAUAUACAUUUGAGGAGUGAUUGAUGCACACUGGCAUCUUCUGAGGGAGACAUGAAUCCGAGCAUUGAAAGCUGGUAUCUGAACCUCAGCUACCGCCAUGUCGCUUCCAUUCAUGUGCGGGUCCUUGGGAACAAUAGAGAGAGACAUGGGAUCCUUGCCCACCUAAUCUACGUUUACGACUGAGAGACAGGAGAGGGACUGAGAGAAAUGAUGGGCAUUUUGUAGAGCUUAAAGCUGGGCAUGGUGUGACUGGUUGCUGUCUGUCCGUGGACGGAGGUGAAUUGGAUUAGCAUUUGCUCCUCUGUAGCAGCCGGUUCCAGUGAACCAUGAAUGUUAAAAAAUAACCUCUUCUUUGGAGCAUCUCCAAUCAUGGCGAAAUAUAAACUCACGACUUAGGAUGAAAGGAUGGCAUGGGGUUACUUUGCAAACGUGUGUGACUUACCUCAGUUACAGGAAUUUUUAAUCUAAGGCACCUCAAAGCAAUCUUUAGGCUUCGCAUGAUAUUAUAAGCUCAAUUCCGUCUAAACUUGCUACUUUUAAUUAACCUCCAGGUUUUUUAUAGCUUAUAUGUAGCAUUUCUUUUGGAGGACUUGGUGGUUAUUCCCCACCCUUUAGAUUUGAACUUGAGACCUCUCGUCUGCAGAGAUGGAUAUCGACCAGCUGAUUCAUUAGCUUAUGUACUAGCUGACACUUCUGAACUUUAAAACUCUAAAAAGUUAUUUUCUUUCGAACCC
This is a non-coding RNA of Phoenix dactylifera (date palm), 2153 nucleotides long. NCBI's taxonomy places the organism in Eukaryota, Viridiplantae, Streptophyta, Magnoliopsida, Arecales, Arecaceae. The record is from RefSeq and is a predicted model, not a curated record.